GAUGAACGCUGACAGAAUGCUUAACACAUGCAAGUCGAUGGGGAAGUGGUGCUUGCACCAUGGCAACCAUGGCGGACGGGUGAGUAACGCGUAAGGGACUUACCUGCAGGACUGGGAUAACAGGGGGAAACUCCUGACAAGACCGGAUAAUGUCAUGGAGCUGCAUGGCUUUAUGAUGAAAGGAGACGCCUGCGGAGAGCCUUGCGUCCUAUUAGCUAGUUGGUGAGGUAAUGGCUCACCAAGGCGAAGAUAGGUAGCCGGCCUGAGAGGGUGGACGGCCACAAGGGGACUGAGAUACGGCCCUUACUCCUACGGAAGGCAGCAGUGGGGAAUAUUGGACAAUGGGGGCAACCCUGAUCCAGCAAUUCUGUGUGCACGAAGAAGGUUUUCGGAUUGUAAAGUGCUUUCAGCAGGGAAGAAGUAAGUGACGGUACCUGCAGAAGAAGCGACGGCUAAAUACGUG
RNAcentral lists this ribosomal RNA (463 nucleotides) under uncultured bacterium. RNAcentral's name for it is "partial 16S ribosomal RNA". It matches the Rfam family "Bacterial small subunit ribosomal RNA", at positions 28 to 507 of the family's 1533-position model. The record is from RNAcentral.